Molecule: transfer RNA, 93 nt
Filed under: Xanthobacter flavus
Lineage: Bacteria; Pseudomonadati; Pseudomonadota; Alphaproteobacteria; Hyphomicrobiales; Xanthobacteraceae
Description: tRNA-Ser
Source: RNAcentral
UGGCCGACGCGGCGCGGCGCGCGCCCCCCCGCCUGCUGCGCGAGGGUCCGGCCGAGGGCCGGGAGCUGCGCCUCGACGGCGUGCCGGUCGCCC